UUAUAAUAAAAAAUUGAUUAAUAAGAAAUUAAAUGGAAGCAUUAAAUUUAGAUAAUUUGGCGGUAUUUUAAAUAGUUAGAGGAAUUUGUUAGUUAAAUGAUAGUCCACGAAUGGUAUGUCCUAAAGUUAUUUUUAUGUAUUGUUGUAUUAAAAUUAUUUUAAAAGAAAUAUAAUUAAGAUAUUAUAUUUAAUUAUAAUUCAAAUCAAAAUGUAGAAUUGUUAGGGUUAAAUGAAUUACAAUUUAAUUUAAUAUUAGAAUUAUUUUUUAAAGUAAAAUAAUAAAAAAGAAUUUAAAAGUAAAUUUAACUAAGUAUUUAAAUUGAAAUUUUUAUUGAAAUAUG
Molecule: ribosomal RNA, 341 nt
Filed under: Pheidole fiorii
Lineage: Eukaryota; Metazoa; Arthropoda; Insecta; Hymenoptera; Formicidae
Description: partial 12S ribosomal RNA
Source: RNAcentral